Teleopsis dalmanni is the source of this 639-nucleotide long non-coding RNA. RefSeq lists it as uncharacterized. The transcript has 5 exons. The record is from RefSeq and is a predicted model, not a curated record. Lineage: Eukaryota; Metazoa; Arthropoda; Insecta; Diptera; Diopsidae.
UUAUUGUAUAUCGCACAUAUUUUUAAUAUAUAACAUUUUUCAUUAAGCCACACAUAUAUAUACCUAUAAGAAUGAAUUAUAGUUCUGGAACAAUAUAAAAGAGCAAAGAUAAUUUAAUAAUAUAAUCUAUGGAAAGACUUAAAAUAUAUCCAUUUAAACUUAAAAUAUGAAUAUUGAGAAGUCCUGAAUAUAGCCAGCAGUGUUUCAUAUUAAGUUCACUCCAACUGAUGCAAAUGAUACCAACCUACACUAUUGUAUUGAUUAAAGGAAUUGGUAUGAAAAACCCUUCGAAUAUGCCGAAUGGAAUCGUCGAAUUUAGAAAAUCCAGGGUUCAAUCAGCACUUUGAAUAACUUUAGAUAUAAGUGAAUGAUUUGCAAUGUGAACACUGCUGGUAAUGAACAAACUUGCCGUAUCUGAUAACCAGUUUGAGAUGUCAUCAUAUAGGAAUACGCUUGAAAUCCAGACUUCAACAAGAUAUUCUGAUUAGCAAUUUUAACUACGUUUGGAAUAAUCAAAGCUAUUCACGAUGUAGUGAAGCAAAGACGUAGAGUUGUUGGACUAGAUUAAACUGGAUUGAGUAUUUCACACGAUGACCUUUUUAGCUGCUCUCCUAUUUCGUCAUAUUUGUCUAAAUAAAA